RNAcentral lists this transfer RNA (96 nucleotides) under Gammaproteobacteria bacterium. RNAcentral's name for it is "tRNA-Sec". It matches the Rfam family "Selenocysteine transfer RNA". The record is from RNAcentral. Lineage: Bacteria; Pseudomonadati; Pseudomonadota; Gammaproteobacteria.
GGAGGGCAAUCACAUCCGGUGGUGUGGCCGGACUUCAAAUCCGGAUGGGGACGGCAGCCGUUCCUAGGUGGGUUCGACUCCCACUGCCCUCCGCCA